ACCGGAUCCGCGGACGGUUUACUGAGCCGGUUAGUACCUCUGCCGACUCAUGUUGCCAUCAUGUCCCGAUACCUGCGCCCCUCCAACACGUCUCUGUUUAUAAGGAACGUGGCCGACGACACCAGGUCCGAAGAUUUACGAAGAGAAUUUGGUCGUUAUGGUCCCAUAGUUGAUGUGUAUGUUCCACUUGAUUUCUACACGCACCGUCCAAGAGGAUUUGCUUAUGUUCAAUUUGAGGAUGUCCGUGAUGCCGAAGACGCUUUAUAUAAUUUGGACAGAAAGUGGAUUUGUGGACGCCAAAUUGAAAUACAGUUUGCACAGGGGGAUCGAAAGACUCCAAAUCAAAUGAAAGCCAAGGAAGGGAGGAAUGUAUACAGCUCUUCACGCUAUGAUGAUUAUGACAGAUACAGACGUUCUAGAAGCCGGAGUUAUGAAAGAAGAAGAUCAAGAAGCCGGUCCUUUGAUUACAACUAUAGAAGAUCUUAUAGUCCUAGAAACAGUAGACCGGCUGGAAGACCACGGCGUAGCAGAAGCCAUUCCGACAAUGAUAGACCAAACUGCAGCUGGAAUACCCAGUACAGGUCUGCUUACUACACUUCAAGAAAGAUCUGAGAAAGCGGAAAAAGAACCAAAGAAGGGCAGUUCAAGCGACCAAAGGGUGGGUGGAAGGUGCUGCAGUAUGAAUACUGUACGAAUAUUUUGACUCUGGUCUGAAAAGAUAAAAGAAUGUUAUCGAAACUACAUGGAAUAAUUGAAGUCCCUUCAAGUUUGAAAGUAAGCAUUUUAGGACAAAUAAAAGGAAAUUCAACUUUGUA
Non-coding RNA from Callorhinus ursinus (northern fur seal), 815 nucleotides. The record is from RefSeq and is a predicted model, not a curated record. Lineage: Eukaryota; Metazoa; Chordata; Mammalia; Carnivora; Otariidae.